This 658-nucleotide ribosomal RNA is filed under the name uncultured bacterium. RNAcentral describes it as "bacterial SSU rRNA". It matches the Rfam family "Bacterial small subunit ribosomal RNA", at positions 94 to 788 of the family's 1533-position model. The record is from RNAcentral.
AGUGGCGGACGGGUGAGUAACGCGUGAGAAUCUGCCUUGGGGUCGGGGACAACCACUGGAAACGGUGGCUAAUACCGGAUACGCCUUCGGGUAAAAGAUUUAUUGCCCUAAGAGGAGCUCGCGUCUGAUUAGCUAGUUGGUGAGGUAAGAGCUCACCAAGGCAGCGAUCAGUAGCUGGUCUGAGAGGACGAUCAGCCACACUGGGACUGAGACACGGCCCAGACUCCUACGGGAGGCAGCAGUGGGGAAUUUUCCGCAAUGGGCGAAAGCCUGACGGAGCAAGACCGCGUGAGGGAGGAAGGCUCUUGGGUUGUAAACCUCUUUUCUCAGGGAAGAAGCUCUGACGGUACCUGAGGAAUCAGCCUCGGCUAACUCCGUGCCAGCAGCCGCGGUAAUACGGAGGAGGCAAGCGUUAUCCGGAAUUAUUGGGCGUAAAGCGUCCGCAGGUGGCGAUUCAAGUCUGCUGUCAAAGCACGGGGCUUAACUCCGUAAAGGCAGUGGAAACUGAAUAGCUAGAGUGCCGUAGGGGUAGAGGGAAUUCCCGGUGUAGCGGUGAAAUGUAGAGAUCGGGAAGAACAUCGGUGGCGAAAGCGCUCUACUGGACGGCAACUGACACUCAGGGACGAAAGCUAGGGGAGCGAAUGGGAUUAGAUACCCC